GACGAACGCUGGCGGCGUGCUUAACACAUGCAAGUCGAACGGAAAGGCCCUGCUUUUGCGGGGUGCUCGAGUGGCGAACGGGUGAGUAACACGUGAGUAACCUGCCCUUGACUUUGGGAUAACUUCAGGAAACUGGGGCUAAUACCGGAUAGGAGCUCCUGCUGCAUGGUGGGGGUUGGAAAGUUUCGGCGGCUGGGGAUGGACUCGCGGCUUAUCAGCUUGUUGGUGGGGUAGUGGCUUACCAAGGCUUUGACGGGUAGCCCGCCUGAGAGGGUGGCCGGCCACCUUGGGCCUGAGGUACGGCCCAGUCGCCAACGGGAGGCAACAGUGGGGAAUAUUGCACAAUGGGCGGAAGCCUGAUGCGGCGGCGCCGCGUGCGGGAUGACGGCCUUCGGGUUGUAAACCGCUUUCUCCUGUGACGAAGCGUGAGUGACGGUAAUGGGUAAAGAAGCACCGGCUAACUACGUG
This 468-nucleotide ribosomal RNA is filed under the name uncultured bacterium. Its description in RNAcentral is "partial 16S ribosomal RNA". It matches the Rfam family "Bacterial small subunit ribosomal RNA", at positions 28 to 507 of the family's 1533-position model. The record is from RNAcentral.